Molecule: ribosomal RNA, 937 nt
Filed under: Bacillus sp. (in: firmicutes)
Lineage: Bacteria; Bacillati; Bacillota; Bacilli; Caryophanales; Bacillaceae
Description: bacterial SSU rRNA
Rfam family: Bacterial small subunit ribosomal RNA
Source: RNAcentral
UGCAAGUCGAGCGGACCGACGGGAGCUUGCUCCCUUAGGUCAGCGGCGGACGGGUGAGUAACACGUGGGUAACCUGCCUGUAAGACUGGGAUAACUCCGGGAAACCGGGGCUAAUACCGGAUGCUUGAUUGAACCGCAUGGUUCAAUCAUAAAAGGUGGCUUUUAGCUACCACUUACAGAUGGACCCGCGGCGCAUUAGCUAGUUGGUGAGGUAACGGCUCACCAAGGCGACGAUGCGUAGCCGACCUGAGAGGGUGAUCGGCCACACUGGGACUGAGACACGGCCCAGACUCCUACGGGAGGCAGCAGUAGGGAAUCUUCCGCAAUGGACGAAAUCUGACGGAGCAACGCCGCGUGAGUGAUGAAGGUUUUCGGAUCGUAAAACUCUGUUGUUAGGGAAGAACAAGUACCGUUCGAAUAGGGCGGUACCUUGACGGUACCUAACCAGAAAGCCACGGCUAACUACGUGCCAGCAGCCGCGGUAAUACGUAGGUGGCAAGCGUUGUCCGGAAUUAUUGGGCGUAAAGCGCGCGCAGGCGGUUUCUUAAGUCUGAUGUGAAAGCCCCCGGCUCAACCGGGGAGGGUCAUUGGAAACUGGGGAACUUGAGUGCAGAAGAGGAGAGUGGAAUUCCACGUGUAGCGGUGAAAUGCGUAGAGAUGUGGAGGAACACCAGUGGCGAAGGCGACUCUCUGGUCUGUAACUGACGCUGAGGCGCGAAAGCGUGGGGAGCGAACAGGAUUAGAUACCCUGGUAGUCCACGCCGUAAACGAUGAGUGCUAAGUGUUAAAGGGUUUCCGCCCUUUAGUGCUGCAGCAAACGCAUUAAGCACUCCGCCUGGGGAGUACGGUCGCAAGACUGAAACUCAAAGGAAUUGACGGGGGCCCGCACAAGCGGUGGAACAUGUGGUUUAAUUCGAACNAACCCGAAAAACCUUAC